Molecule: ribosomal RNA, 253 nt
Filed under: uncultured bacterium
Lineage: Bacteria
Description: partial 16S ribosomal RNA
Rfam family: Bacterial small subunit ribosomal RNA
Source: RNAcentral
UACGGGGGGGGCUAGCGUUGCUCGGAAUCACUGGGCGUAAAGGGUGCGUAGGCGGGCCUUUAAGUCAGGGGUGAAAUCCUGGAGCUCAACUCCAGAACUGCCUUUGAUACUGAAGAUCUUGAGUUCGGGAGAGGUGAGUGGAACUGCGAGUGUAGAGGUGAAAUUCGUAGAUAUUCGCAAGAACACCAGUGGCGAAGGCGGCUCACUGGCCCGAUACUGACGCUGAGGCACGAAAGCGUGGGGAGCAAACAGG